UAUCAAUAAGCGGAGGAAAAGAAACUAACAAGGAUUCCCCUAGUAACUGCGAGUGAAGCGGGAAAAGCUCAAAUUUAAAAUCUGGUGGUCUUUGGCCAUCCGAGUUGUAAUUUAGAGAAGCGUCUUCCGCGCUGGACCGUGCACAAGUCUCCUGGAAUGGAGCGUCAUAGAGGGUGAGAAUCCCGUCUUUGGCAUGGACACACCAGGGCUUUUGUGAUGCGCUCUCGAAGAGUCGAGUUGUUUGGGAAUGCAGCUCAAAAUGGGUGGUGAACUCCAUCUAAAGCUAAAUAUUGGCGAGAGACCGAUAGCGAACAAGUACCGUGAGGGAAAGAUGAAAAGCACUUUGGAAAGAGAGUGAAACAGUACGUGAAAUUGUUGAAAGGGAAACGCUUGAAGUCAGUCACGUCGACCGAGACUCAGCCUUGCCUCGGCUUGGUGUACUUCUCGGCUGACGGGUCAGCAUCAAUUUUGCCCCUUGGAUAAUGGCAAGGGAAAUGUGACACCUUUAUGGUGUGUUAUAGUCUCUCGUCGCAUGCAAGGGUUGGGAUUGAGGAACUCAGCACGCGCCUUUGGGUGUCGGGGCUUUGCCCACGAUACGUGCUUAGGAUGUUGGCAUAAUGGCUUUAAACGACC
Molecule: ribosomal RNA, 633 nt
Filed under: Russula aff. xerampelina r-01018
Lineage: Eukaryota; Fungi; Basidiomycota; Agaricomycetes; Russulales; Russulaceae
Description: LSU rRNA
Rfam family: Eukaryotic large subunit ribosomal RNA
Source: RNAcentral